RNAcentral lists this transfer RNA (72 nucleotides) under Firmicutes bacterium CAG:552_39_19. RNAcentral's name for it is "tRNA-Arg". It matches the Rfam family "tRNA". Rfam says of the family: Transfer RNA (tRNA) molecules are approximately 80 nucleotides in length. Lineage: Bacteria; Bacillati; Bacillota. The record is from RNAcentral. RNAcentral also lists the same sequence under 2 other names.
GUUCUCGUAGUUAAAUGGAUAUAACAAUAGCCUCCUAAGCUGUAAUUGUGGGUUCGAUUCCCGCCGGGAACA